GUUGUCGUCAGCUCGUGUCGUGAGAUGUUGGGUUAAGUCCCGCAACGAGCGCAACCCUUAAGCUUAGUUGCCAUCAUUAAGUUGGGCACUCUAAGUUGACUGCCGGUGACAAACCGGAGGAAGGUGGGGAUGACGUCAAAUCAUCAUGCCCCUUAUGAUUUGGGCUACACACGUGCUACAAUGGACAAUACAAAGGGCAGCGAAACCGCGAGGUCAAGCAAAUCCCAUAAAGUUGUUCUCAGUUCGGAUUGUAGUCUGCAACUCGACUACAUGAAGCUGGAAUCGCUAGUAAUCGUAGAUCAGCAUGCUACGGUGAAUACGUUCCCGGGUCUUGUACACACCGCCCGUCACACCACGAGAGUUUGUAACACCCGAAGCCGGUGGAGUAACCUUUUAGGAGCUAGCCGUCGAAGGUGGGACAAAUGAUUGGGGUGAAGUCGUAACAAGGUAGCCGUAUCGGAAGGUGCGGCUGGAUCACCUCCUUU
RNAcentral lists this ribosomal RNA (485 nucleotides) under Staphylococcus aureus. RNAcentral's name for it is "bacterial SSU rRNA". It matches the Rfam family "Bacterial small subunit ribosomal RNA", at positions 1048 to 1533 of the family's 1533-position model. RNAcentral also lists the same sequence under 2 other names. Lineage: Bacteria; Bacillati; Bacillota; Bacilli; Caryophanales; Staphylococcaceae. The record is from RNAcentral.